CUGAAGAAUUUUAUGAUCUGGAUGCUUAUAACCCUACUAAAAGUAAGUUCAUUAUGAAACUUCAAGUUCAUCCAGGACGAAUAAGCCAAGAAGAUAGUCACGAAUUUGAUUUGCUUAUCAGGAACAGACAGAAGACAUACAAAUAUACAUAUUAAUUAGGCGUCAUUUCCAUGAUCACAUUCAUAUUUAUCAGCUUCGUUGACUCCUCAAAGUCAAAGUGAAAUUCUUGAAGAAAGCUUUCAAGGUCAUAAGGAAUGAUUGGCAAAAAUUGCUUACCUGAGCCAGCUUAGAAGAUGAACACAGGAUUCUGGUGUGCGAAUUCAUGCCGAGGGGAAGUUUGGAAAAUCAUCUAUUCAGAAAAGAGUGCUUAUUUCCAACCACUAUCAUAGAAUCUCCGAAUGAAGGUUACUCUCGAGGCAGCUAAAGGACUGACAUAUCUCCACAGCCCAGAAGCUAAAAUUAUAUAUCAGGAUUUCAAAUCAUCUAACAUUUUGCUUGUUGCUAAUUACAAUGCAAAGUUGAGCCAAUCAACAGUAAAAUGGGUACCUUCUGUUGAGUAUAUGACCACUGGUAAUAUACAAUUUCAAUUUACUCCUAAUUGUUCUUGUGAUUUACCUGAGCUGAGCGUCAAUCGGAAGCCAAGUACAAAAGUAGUUAAAAGAUAGAGAUGGUGUCACUAGGAAUAGCUUGACUGGCCCAUCUCCAUCCGUUUCUCUGUUCAAGAAGUAUCAAAAUGCAGCGAUGGUAAUAAAUUGAUCAAUUUUCACUGUACUAUGUCAUAUUUCCAGCAUUAGAUAGUACGUUUAUCAAUAGUUUAGCCAAUUUUUAGAUAUAAGUGUAUCCAAAUUGCUUAAAAGUUGCACAGCUAGACUGUUUUGGCAUGAUAAAUGAUGUUGUUCGAUCUGAAAUUUAAUAUGAAUUUGGUAUAUUACCCGUUGUUAUGCGAGCUUAAUUUUUUGAUUCACAUGUAAAAAUUGACAGUCCAUAGUAGCCUCCUUCUCGAUGUAGUUGUCAGUUAUAACUUUGCUUUCUGUUCUUUGAGCUACUUUACUGCACUUGAAGAGAAAAUUCAGUAAAAAUGUGGCUUAGAUACUUAAAGUCGGGGGAAUUCAAAACUGAAGUAAGAUGAAUUCCUCAUUAAUGUGUUUUGAUGGAUUUUAUGGUCAACUUGGUGGCUAUGUUAUAUGAAUUUUGUUGCACAUCACUGAAAUUAGCUAGUGAUUGUUUUGUGUAUACUUGAUGAAUUGUAUCCACAUUACAUGGACUCUUUUCACUUUCAAUGCAGCAUCAGUGUUGAAUUAAUUUGACAGCGUAUCCAGUCUCCUCAACUUUUGUAAGUGUAACUCUUUAGGACACUCUGAUUAUCGACUUGUGGCUUCUUUGAUUUAUCUGUCUCUUUAUUAGGAAGAUUUUUUGUUUUUGCGUCGAAAAACUACAUGUUGUCCAUUCAUUUAGGUAGCUUAAAUGAUGUUUUAAUAGAAGACUAUUGCAAAAAAUCCCUCCACCUUAAAGCAUAUUCGA
Long non-coding RNA from Solanum stenotomum, 1521 nucleotides. RefSeq lists it as uncharacterized. The record is from RefSeq and is a predicted model, not a curated record. The transcript is spliced from 5 exons. Lineage: Eukaryota; Viridiplantae; Streptophyta; Magnoliopsida; Solanales; Solanaceae.